AACGCUGGCGGCGUGCUUAACACAUGCAAGUCGAACGGAAAGGCCCUGCUUUUGUGGGGUGCUCGAGUGGCGAACGGGUGAGUAACACGUGAGUAACCUGCCCUUGACUUUGGGAUAACUUCGGGAAACUGGGGCUAAUACCGGAUAGGAGCUCCUGCUGCAUGGUGGGGGUUGGAAAGUUUCGGCGGUUGGGGAUGGACUCGCGGCUUAUCAGCUUGUUGGUGGGGUAGUGGCUUACCAAGGCUUUGACGGGUAGCCGGCCUGAGAGGGUGACCGGCCACAUUGGGACUGAGAUACGGCCCAGACUCCUACGGGAGGCAGCAGUGGGGAAUAUUGCACAAUGGGCGGAAGCCUGAUGCAGCAACGCCGCGUGCGGGAUGACGGCCUUCGGGUUGUAAACCGCUUUCGCCUGUGACGAAGCGUGAGUGACGGUAAUGGGUAAAGAAGCACCGGCUAACUACGUGCCAGCAGCCGCGGUGAUACGUAGGGUGCGAGCGUUGUCCGGAUUUAUUGGGCGUAAAGGGCUCGUAGGUGGUUGAUCGCGUCGGAAGUGUAAUCUUGGGGCUUAACCCUGAGCGUGCUUUCGAUACGGGUUGACUUGAGGAAGGUAGGGGAGAAUGGAAUUCCUGGUGGAGCGGUGGAAUGCGCAGAUAUCAGGAGGAACACCAGUGGCGAAGGCGGUUCUCUGGGCCUUUCCUGACGCUGAGGAGCGAAAGCGUGGGGAGCGAACAGGCUUAGAUACCCUGGUAGUCCACGCUGUAAACGGUGGGUACUAGGUGUGGGGUCCAUUCCACGGGUUCCGUGCCGUAGCUAACGCUUUAAGUACCCCGCCUGGGGAGUACGGCCGCAAGGCUAAAACUCAAAGGAAUUGACGGGGCCCCGCACAAGCGGCGGAGCAUGCGGAUUAAUUCGAUGCAACGCGUAGAACCUUACCUGGGUUUGACAUGGAUCGGGAGUGCUCAGAGAUGGGUGUGCCUCUUUUGGGGUCGGUUCACAGGUGGUGCAUGGCUGUCGUCAGCUCGUGUCGUGAGAUGUUGGGUUAAGUCCCGCAACGAGCGCAACCCUUGUUCACUGUUGCCAGCACGUUAUGGUGGGGACUCAGUGGAGACCGCCGGGGUCAACUCGGAGGAAGGUGGGGAUGACGUCAAGUCAUCAUGCCCCUUAUGUCCAGGGCUUCACGCAUGCUACAAUGGCUGGUACAGAGAGUGGCGAGCCUGUGAGGGUGAGCGAAUCUCGGAAAGCCGGUCUCAGUUCGGAUUGGGGUCUGCAACUCGACCUCAUGAAGUCGGAGUCGCUAGUAAUCGCAGAUCAGCAACGCUGCGGUGAAUACGUUCCCGGGGCUUGUACACACCGCCCGUCAAGUCAUGAAAGUUGGUAACACCCGAAGCCGGUGGCCUAACCGAUGUGGGGGAGCCGUCGAAGGUGGGACUGGUGAUU
Molecule: ribosomal RNA, 1437 nt
Filed under: uncultured organism
Description: 16S ribosomal RNA
Rfam family: Bacterial small subunit ribosomal RNA
Source: RNAcentral